This is a long non-coding RNA of Passer domesticus (house sparrow), 530 nucleotides long. RefSeq lists it as uncharacterized. Lineage: Eukaryota; Metazoa; Chordata; Aves; Passeriformes; Passeridae. The transcript has 3 exons. The record is from RefSeq and is a predicted model, not a curated record.
UGGCUGCUGUGUUGACACGCUCUGCACCUUGCUCCUGCCUUUGCCUUUCACUCUUCUUAUCCCCCCAAUACCCCCAUCAUUCCUGACAGCUCCUGAGUGCCUGGAUUUCAUCAUCCAGCCCUGCAGGAUGCUUCCCUUUCUUCUGAGGAAGGCUGUCCCAGACAGAGAGGAGGAGAUGGAGGUAGAUACCAAGAUUGAUACGGAGGAGAUGGAAAUAGACGGAGAAGACCCUGGAGAGGAAGAGAUGGAUGUGGAUAUGGAAGAGUCCGUUGAGGACAUGGACAUUGAUUAAAAAGGUGCAAAGGACAUCAUGGACAGAGAUGCCAACCUUUUUGUACAUAUGUUUUACACUUUGGUGUUGUCAUUAGGAUAUAGGUUUUAGGGCUUUUUGUCUUCUGUAAAUAUGUUUCAUAUUUUUUUGUUAGAUAGGUUUUUCUGUAUAUAUGUUCUAUCGAUUGUUGUUGUUACAAAUAUUCUUACAAUGUAAAUAUGUUCUCUAUUUUUGCUGCUGUUCUUCUCUAAUAAACAAA